This 466-nucleotide ribosomal RNA is filed under the name Coolia malayensis. RNAcentral's name for it is "LSU rRNA". It matches the Rfam family "Eukaryotic large subunit ribosomal RNA", at positions 140 to 597 of the family's 3401-position model. The record is from RNAcentral. Lineage: Eukaryota; Dinophyceae; Peridiniales; Ostreopsidaceae.
GAAUUGUAUUUUCAAAAUGCAUUGGUAACACAACUGCNNNUGUUUGUUUAUUGGAAAGAACAUCACAAAGGGUGACAAUCCCAUGUGUCAUGUGUAUGUUUUGUGUACAGUGUGCAUUAUAUGAAUCACAUUCAUUGACAAUUGAAUGCAAAUAGAAUGGUAAAUUUCAUUUAAUCAUAAAUAUGUUGUUGACAACUUAUAGCAAACAAAUACCAUGAGGGAAAUGUGAAAAGGAUUUUGAAAAGAAAAUUAAAAGAGCUUGCAAUUGCUGAACUGAUAAGCAAACAAAACAUACGUGUGUAUGCAAGAUUGUUGUAAUGCUUAGCAUCUUAUGCAAGGCUAUUGCAAUGAUUUUUUGUAUAGUGAUGGUACCUUUUUUUUAGAAUUUGGAAUGUCUUUUUUUGAGUGUGAAUGGAAUUUUGUUUGUUAGCAAAGGAAUGCACUUUUAGAUUCAUUGUUUGAUUUG